CAAUGGGCGCAAGCCUGAUGCAGCGACGCCGCGUGAGGGAUGACGGCCUUCGGGUUGUAAACCUCUUUCAGUAGGGAAGAAGCGAAAGUGACGGUACCUGCAGAAGAAGCGCCGGCUAACUACGUGCCAGCAGCCGCGGUAAUACGUAGGGCGCAAGCGUUAUCCGGAAUUAUUGGGCGUAAAGAGCUCGUAGGCGGUUUGUCGCGUCUGCCGUGAAAGUCCGGGGCUCAACUCCGGAUCUGCGGUGGGUACGGGCAGACUAGAGUGAUGUAGGGGAGACUGGAAUUCCUGGUGUAGCGGUGAAAUGCGCAGAUAUCAGGAGGAACACCGAUGGCGAAGGCAGGUCUCUGGGCAUUAACUGACGCUGAGGAGCGAAAGCAUGGGGAGCGAACAGGAUUAGAUACCCUGGUAGUCCAUGCCGUAAACGUUGGGCACUAGGUGUGGGGGACAUUCCACGUUUUCCGCGCCGUAGCUAACGCAUUAAGUGCCCCGCCUGGGGAGU
Molecule: ribosomal RNA, 502 nt
Filed under: Arthrobacter sp. CP7A
Lineage: Bacteria; Bacillati; Actinomycetota; Actinomycetes; Micrococcales; Micrococcaceae
Description: bacterial SSU rRNA
Rfam family: Bacterial small subunit ribosomal RNA
Source: RNAcentral